AAAAAGUUUACAUAUGUCUGAAAAGUGAAUCUGAAAAUAAGUUAGCUUGUUUAUGUAUGUUUACUUUGAACUAGGUUUUGCACCUAAUUUGAGGUUUUUCAUUAAAAUCCACCAGUCUAUCAAAAAUAAUUUUCAGAACAUUAAACACAUUUUAAUACAUUCAAGCUUCAAAUCACUAAUCUCCAAUUUUCAAGGUCAUAAUGGAAUGUUAAAGCAAGUGUGUUUAUAGGUGCAUCUCAAAAAAUGAUGCACCUGUACAUGAAGUUCAUGCUUAACUCACACACGAAGUUUCCUCAUUCCUUUCAUAUUACAGAUCUCUGG
Ictalurus punctatus (channel catfish) is the source of this 321-nucleotide long non-coding RNA. RefSeq lists it as uncharacterized. The record is from RefSeq and is a predicted model, not a curated record. NCBI's taxonomy places the organism in Eukaryota, Metazoa, Chordata, Actinopteri, Siluriformes, Ictaluridae. The transcript has 2 exons.